Molecule: ribosomal RNA, 678 nt
Filed under: uncultured bacterium
Lineage: Bacteria
Description: bacterial SSU rRNA
Rfam family: Bacterial small subunit ribosomal RNA
Source: RNAcentral
GUAGUCCACGCAGUAAACGAUGCUCACUCGCUGUUUGCGAUAUAAAGUAAGCGGCCAAGCGAAAGCGAUAAGUGAGCCACCUGGGGAGUACGCCGGCAACGGUGAAACUCAAAGGAAUUGACGGGGGCCCGCACAAGCGGAGGAACAUGUGGUUUAAUUCGAUGAUACGCGAGGAACCUUACCUGGGCUUAAAUGGGAGCAGACGCAGGUUGAAAGACUUGUUUCUACGGACUGCUUUCAAGGUGCUGCAUGGUUGUCGUCAGCUCGUGCCGUGAGGUGUCGGGUUAAGUCCCAUAACGAGCGCAACCCUUACCGUUAGUUACCAUCAGGUAAAGCUGGGGACUCUAGCGGGACUGCCACCGUAAGGUGAGAGGAAGGCGGGGAUGACGUCAAAUCAGCACGGCCCUUAUGUCCAGGGCUACACACGUGUUACAAUGGCCGGUACAGAGGGCAGCGACAACGCAAGUUGGAGCGAAUCCCGAAAGCCGGUUCCAGUUCGGAUCGAAGUCUGCAACCCGACUUCGUGAAGCUGGAUUCGCUAGUAAUCGCGCAUCAGCCAUGGCGCGGUGAAUACGUUCCCGGGCCUUGUACACACCGCCCGUCAAACCAUGGAAGCUGGGGGUACCUGAAGACUGUCACCGAGAGGAACGGUUUAGGGUAAAACCAGUAACUGGGGUU